UCUCAGUUCAGAUUGCAGGCUGCAAACUCGCCUGCAUGAAGUCGGAAUUGCUAGUAAUCGCAGAUCAGCAUGCUGCGGUGAAUACGUCCCCGGGCCUUGUACACACCGCCCGUCACACCAUGGGAGUCGGUAACACCCGAAGUCGGUAGCCUAACCGUAAGGAGGGCGCCGCCGAAGGUGGGAUUGAUGACUGGGGUGAAGUCGUAACAAGGUAUC
RNAcentral lists this ribosomal RNA (216 nucleotides) under uncultured bacterium. Its description in RNAcentral is "partial 16S ribosomal RNA". It matches the Rfam family "Bacterial small subunit ribosomal RNA", at positions 1286 to 1500 of the family's 1533-position model. The record is from RNAcentral.